GGUGUAGUUGCAUAUUGUGGUCACUGGGGGGUGGCAGUGCUUAAGGGUUAACUGCAGUUUUCCAAAAAAAACUUAACAAGAAAUGCAUCUUGGGACUCCCUGUUUACUCUCUUUUUGUGGAUGUGGAACGGGAAUGUUGUGAAGGAGUUAAAUUGUUGGACCUGUAUGUGCAGCGUGGAGCCGCCAUUUUCUCCAUGCAAGGGAUAAGUUGCCAGAUCGUCUGUGUGCUCCAGUAUUCCAAGUGAGCUGAGAUUUCUGUGGAAUGUUCCUCCUGCUUCGCUGCUGAGACAUUCAGGUUGAGCAUUGACAAGAAGUUUGUCAACAACCGCAUCACAACCCUCACCUCUACCAUCUGCCUAAUGGUUGGCAGUUACUACUGCUUUGACAUACAUUACCCUGUGGAACUACAGUAAAAUUUCUUUUAUUAUUGAUUUAUUUUUGUGCUUAUCAAACUUAGCAUAUGUUGAUGAAAACUUGUUCCUGGAAUUUCUUCAAUUCAGAUUUUCUUUCAGUUAUAGAAAAAAAAGUUUCAUUCUCUAUAUUUGCAUUUGGAUAAUUUGAAAAAGCAAUAUUAUACGUGUACUGAUAUUUAUGUUGUGAGAAGAGCACCAAUAACACUUUGGGGUUUUCAAGUUAUGGUAAAGGUGUCUGAAUUGUCGGCUACAGGUAAUGUAUGAUAAUGUAUGCUCAACUUACAACACUGGUUUUCCACAGUUUGAACAGAACUUGUAAGAAUUCAGUAAUUCUUUACUGUUGCUGUCAUUGAGUUAAUUAGUAACUAUUUGUGAUGCCUUGAGUAAAAAUGUAAACGUUUGAUGUUCACAACAUCAAAGAUGAUAAAUAAAAUA
This is a long non-coding RNA of Oreochromis aureus, 848 nucleotides long. RefSeq lists it as uncharacterized. The record is from RefSeq and is a predicted model, not a curated record. The transcript is spliced from 3 exons. Lineage: Eukaryota; Metazoa; Chordata; Actinopteri; Cichliformes; Cichlidae.